UUAGAGUGACAAACUAUCCUGGUUUCCCUGGGACUGAGGGGAGUCCCAGGAUAUGAGCCGUGU
RNAcentral lists this microRNA precursor (63 nucleotides) under Choloepus hoffmanni (Hoffmann's two-fingered sloth). RNAcentral's name for it is "miRNA (ENSCHOG00000016067.1)". The record is from RNAcentral. Lineage: Eukaryota; Metazoa; Chordata; Mammalia; Pilosa; Megalonychidae.